This 620-nucleotide ribosomal RNA is filed under the name Plantago coronopus. Its description in RNAcentral is "eukaryotic LSU rRNA". The stretch from base 236 to 391 matches the Rfam family "5.8S ribosomal RNA". Lineage: Eukaryota; Viridiplantae; Streptophyta; Magnoliopsida; Lamiales; Plantaginaceae. The record is from RNAcentral.
AUCAUUGUCGAUAUCUUAAAAGCAAACCCGCGAACUCGUGUUUAACAUGAACGGCGUCCCGUCGAGCUUGAGUAAUCUUCUUGGCGAGACGACGUGUCCGCCUGGUGCUUGCACCAGGCUGGCUAACGAAACCCGGCGCGGCAAGCGCCAAGGAAAACAAUACGGAAUCGUUGCGCCCCGUGACCCCCGUUCGCGGUGCGGUUGUGGGGAUGCGACGUAUCUUAUAAGUCUAAACGACUCUCGGCAACGGAUAUCUCGGCUCUCGCAUCGAUGAAGAACGUAGCGAAAUGCGAUACUUGGUGUGAAUUGCAGAAUCCCGUGAACCAUCGAAUCUUUGAACGCAAGUUGCGCCCGACGCCUUCGGGCUGAGGGCACGCCUGCCUGGGCGUCACGCAUCGCGUCGCCCCCUCCCAAUCCCUCGUGGAUCGGUGAUGGGACGGAAAAUGGCCUCCCGUUAGCUCGGUUGGCCCAAAAGGGAUCCCUCGAAGACGGAUGUCACAACCAGUGGUGGUUGAAAAUAUCAUUUUGCUGUUGUGCUUCACCCUGUCUCUUGUAGGGCAUCGUUUUAACACCAACGGCGUCUAGUGCGCCUUCGACCGCGACCCCAGGUCAGACGGGAU